UAACACGUGGAUAACCUACCUAUAAGACUGGGAUAACUUCGGGAAACCGGAGCUAAUACCGGAUAAUAUAUUGAACCGCAUGGUUCAAAAGUGAAAGACGGUCUUGCUGUCACUUAUAGAUGGAUCCGCGCUGCAUUAGCUAGUUGGUAAGGUAACGGCUUACCAAGGCAACGAUGCAUAGCCGACCUGAGAGGGUGAUCAGCCACACUGGAACUGAGACACGGUCCAG
This 229-nucleotide ribosomal RNA is filed under the name uncultured Staphylococcus sp. Its description in RNAcentral is "partial 16S ribosomal RNA". It matches the Rfam family "Bacterial small subunit ribosomal RNA", at positions 111 to 334 of the family's 1533-position model. The record is from RNAcentral. Lineage: Bacteria; Bacillati; Bacillota; Bacilli; Caryophanales; Staphylococcaceae.